This 437-nucleotide long non-coding RNA is filed under the name Chrysemys picta bellii (western painted turtle). Its description in RNAcentral is "lncRNA (ENSCPBG00000013245.1)". The record is from RNAcentral. Lineage: Eukaryota; Metazoa; Chordata; Testudines; Emydidae.
UGGGGUGGAUAAUUAAUUUUUUUUUUAAUUUUAAUAGAAAUGUCUGUUAGACAAACUGCCUAACUCCAAUAUCCCCACCACCACCACCACCCCCAAGGGUUUGUCUCCUAUGGAUGCAUUCCGGACUGUCCUUCAGGAUAUACUCCAGCAAGUAAGGAAGGAAAAUACGUUUGAGCUUGGCGUAAUCGCAAUGAAUAUGAAGGGAGAAGCCGGAGCUGCUUAAUCAGUACCAUUUUGAUACUGCAUGUGGUCUCAGGGAAAGGACUCCAUAGAAGAAUUAGUGCAACAACCCUACUAGAGAUGAAAAAAUACAUUAAAAGAUAAUUCUUCUGUGUUAUACAGGGCAGAUUGUGAACCCCUUACUCGCAAUGGUGAGCAGUACAAUUAGUCCCAUUAAGACCCAAAAGGAACUGUUUGGCACUCCUGAAAAUUCAUCU